ACGGUCUGGGGAAAGGCUCCUGUGUGGUUGGACCUGCCUGAGGUGGGUUCAGCCUUGUACCAGACAGCCCGACCUUGACCCAGAGUAAAUGCCCGGGAGGAGAAGCCUCCCUGGGUUUAGAAUUUGCAGUAACAGGUGUGAGCAUUCUAGCAGCAGUUUGAUGAUCAUGUAUGAUACUGCAAACAGGA
Nannospalax galili (Upper Galilee mountains blind mole rat) is the source of this 188-nucleotide non-coding RNA. The record is from Ensembl. NCBI's taxonomy places the organism in Eukaryota, Metazoa, Chordata, Mammalia, Rodentia, Spalacidae.